RNAcentral lists this ribosomal RNA (1514 nucleotides) under uncultured Lactobacillus sp. RNAcentral's name for it is "bacterial SSU rRNA". It matches the Rfam family "Bacterial small subunit ribosomal RNA". Lineage: Bacteria; Bacillati; Bacillota; Bacilli; Lactobacillales; Lactobacillaceae. The record is from RNAcentral.
GGCCCCUGGCGGCGUGCUAAUACAUGCAAGUCGAACGAGUUCUCGUUGAUGAUCGGUGCUUGCACCGAGAUUCAACACUGGAACGAGUGGCGGACGGGUGAGUAACACGUGGGUAACCUGCCCUUAAGUGGGGGAUAACAUUUGGAAACAGAUGCUAAUACCGCAUAGAUCCAAGAACCGCAUGGUUCUUGGCUGAAAGAUGGCGUAAGCUAUCGCUUUUGGAUGGACCCGCGGCGUAUUAGCUAGUUGGUGAGGUAAUGGCUCACCAAGGCGAUGAUACGUAGCCGAACUGAGAGGUUGAUCGGCCACAUUGGGACUGAGACACGGCCCAAACUCCUACGGGAGGCAGCAGUAGGGAAUCUUCCACAAUGGACGCAAGUCUGAUGGAGCAACGCCGCGUGAGUGAAGAAGGCUUUCGGGUCGUAAAACUCUGUUGUUGGAGAAGAAUGGUCGGCAGAGUAACUGUUGUCGGCGUGACGGUAUCCAACCAGAAAGCCACGGCUAACUACGUGCCAGCAGCCGCGGUAAUACGUAGGUGGCAAGCGUUAUCCGGAUUUAUUGGGCGUAAAGCGAGCGCAGGCGGUUUUUUAAGUCUGAUGUGAAAGCCCUCGGCUUAACCGAGGAAGCGCAUCGGAAACUGGGAAACUUGAGUGCAGAAGAGGACAGUGGAACUCCAUGUGUAGCGGUGAAAUGCGUAGAUAUAUGGAAGAACACCAGUGGCGAAGGCGGCUGUCUGGUCUGUAACUGACGCUGAGGCUCGAAAGCAUGGGUAGCGAACAGGAUUAGAUACCCUGGUAGUCCAUGCCGUAAACGAUGAAUGCUAGGUGUUGGAGGGUUUCCGCCCUUCAGUGCCGCAGCUAACGCAUUAAGCAUUCCGCCUGGGGAGUACGACCGCAAGGUUGAAACUCAAAGGAAUUGACGGGGGCCCGCACAAGCGGUGGAGCAUGUGGUUUAAUUCGAAGCAACGCGAAGAACCUUACCAGGUCUUGACAUCUUUUGAUCACCUGAGAGAUCAGGUUUCCCCUUCGGGGGCAAAAUGACAGGUGGUGCAUGGUUGUCGUCAGCUCGUGUCGUGAGAUGUUGGGUUAAGUCCCGCAACGAGCGCAACCCUUAUGACUAGUUGCCAGCAUUUAGUUGGGCACUCUAGUAAGACUGCCGGUGACAAACCGGAGGAAGGUGGGGAUGACGUCAAAUCAUCAUGCCCCUUAUGACCUGGGCUACACACGUGCUACAAUGGAUGGUACAACGAGUUGCGAGACCGCGAGGUCAAGCUAAUCUCUUAAAGCCAUUCUCAGUUCGGACUGUAGGCUGCAACUCGCCUACACGAAGUCGGAAUCGCUAGUAAUCGCGGAUCAGCACGCCGCGGUGAAUACGUUCCCGGGCCUUGUACACACCGCCCGUCACACCAUGAGAGUUUGUAACACCCGAAGCCGGUGGCGUAACCCUUUUAGGGAGCGAGCCGUCUAAGGUGGGACAAAUGAUUAGGGUGAAGUCGUAACAACGGAGGCCCUGGG